AAGCCCAUGACGGGUGAUAACCGAGGCUCCGUACUAACCUGAGUAGGUGACAGUAUGGACAAUUCGAGUACCUUUCCGAACCUCUGUCGUUGAAUAGUCACCAAAAUAAGUACACGGGAGAAACGCCUCUUACCUUUUAUUUCUUUUACAUUUACACUUAUUUGCAAAUGAAUUGAGUCUGUUUAAUAAAUUGGGUCGGAUAGAUUGUGUGAUGGUAUGUGGGGUAGGUUUUUGUAAAGCAUGUUGGGG
This 249-nucleotide long non-coding RNA is filed under the name Gossypium barbadense (sea-island cotton). Its description in RNAcentral is "long non-coding RNA (GBAR_LNC013460)". Lineage: Eukaryota; Viridiplantae; Streptophyta; Magnoliopsida; Malvales; Malvaceae. The record is from RNAcentral.